RNAcentral lists this ribosomal RNA (492 nucleotides) under uncultured bacterium. Its description in RNAcentral is "partial 16S ribosomal RNA". It matches the Rfam family "Bacterial small subunit ribosomal RNA", at positions 29 to 507 of the family's 1533-position model. The record is from RNAcentral.
AGUGAACGCUGGCGGUAGGCCUAACACAUGCAAGUCGAACGGCAGCGCAGUAAGAGCUUGCUCUUACGGGUGGCGAGUGGCGGACGGGUGAGGAAUACAUCGGAAUCUACUUUUUCGUGGGGGAUAACGUAGGGAAACUUACGCUAAUACCGCAUACGACCUACGGGUGAAAGCAGGGGAUCUUCGGACCUUGCGCGAUUGAAUGAGCCGAUGCCGGAUUAGCUAGUUGGCGGGGUAAAGGCCCACCAAGGCGACGAUCCGUAGCUGGUCUGAGAGGAUGAUCAGCCACACUGGAACUGAGACACGGUCCAGACUCCUACGGGAGGCAGCAGUGGGGAAUAUUGGACAAUGGGCGCAAGCCUGAUCCAGCCAUACCGCGUGGGUGAAGAAGGCCUUCGGGUUGUAAAGCCCUUUUGUUGGGAAAGAAAAGCAGCAGGUUAAUACCCCGCUGUUCUGACGGUACCCAAAGAAUAAGCACCGGCUAACUUCGUG